Molecule: ribosomal RNA, 301 nt
Filed under: uncultured bacterium
Lineage: Bacteria
Description: partial 16S ribosomal RNA
Rfam family: Bacterial small subunit ribosomal RNA
Source: RNAcentral
CAGCAGCCGCGGGAAAACGUAGGGUGCAAGCGUUAAUCGGAAUUACUGGGCGUAAAGCGUGCGCAGGCGGUUUGUUAAGACAGAUGUGAAAUCCCCGGGCUCAACCUGGGAACUGCAUUUGUGACUGGCAAGCUAGAGUAUGGCAGAGGGGGGUGGAAUUCCGCGUGUAGCAGUGAAAUGCGUAGAUAUGCGGAGGAACACCGAUGGCGAAGGCAGCCCCCUGGGCCAAUACUGACGCUCAUGCACGAAAGCGUGGGGAGCAAACAGGAUUAGAGACCCCAGCAGUCCCUGUCUCUUAUAA